RNAcentral lists this ribosomal RNA (522 nucleotides) under Sibynophis collaris (collared black-headed snake). RNAcentral's name for it is "partial 16S ribosomal RNA". It matches the Rfam family "Bacterial large subunit ribosomal RNA", at positions 1812 to 2608 of the family's 2925-position model. Lineage: Eukaryota; Metazoa; Chordata; Lepidosauria; Squamata; Sibynophiidae. The record is from RNAcentral.
AACAUAACCUUUAGCCACUAACAAAUAUUAAAGGCAACGCCUGCCCGGUGAUCAUUAAACGGCCGCGGUACCCUAACCGUGCAAAGGUAGCAUAAUCAUUUGUCUACUAAUUAUAGACCAGUAUGAAAGGCAAAAUGAGGGUUUAACUGUCUCUUACAACAGAUCAAUUAAACUGAUCUACCAGUAAAAAAGCUGGAAUAUUAUCAUAAGACCAGAAGACCCUGUGAAGCUUAAAAUAAACUAUUAAACCAUAUAAUAGCUACUUUCGGUUGGGGCGACCUUGGAAAUAAAAAGAACUUCCAACAACACACUUCCAGACAUACAGGCCCACAAGCCACUAAACGACCCAGCUUCUAAGCUGAUAAAUGAACCAAGUUACUCCAGGGAUAACAGCGCCAUCUUCUUCAAGAGCCCAUAUCAAAAAGAAGGUUUACGACCUCGAUGUUGGAUCAGGACAUCCUAAUGGUGUAGCCGCUAUUAAAGGUUCGUUUGUUCAACGAUUAACAGUCCUACGUGAUCUGA